CCAGGUUAGAUUCAUCUCUU
This 20-nucleotide small nuclear RNA is filed under the name Arabidopsis thaliana (thale cress). RNAcentral describes it as "snRNA_05288". Lineage: Eukaryota; Viridiplantae; Streptophyta; Magnoliopsida; Brassicales; Brassicaceae. The record is from RNAcentral.